This 30-nucleotide non-coding RNA is filed under the name Mus musculus (house mouse). Lineage: Eukaryota; Metazoa; Chordata; Mammalia; Rodentia; Muridae. The record is from RNAcentral.
UGGACUUGGUAACGUGUAAGGGUCACCCAG